RNAcentral lists this ribosomal RNA (613 nucleotides) under Cladophialophora carrionii. Its description in RNAcentral is "eukaryotic LSU rRNA". It matches the Rfam family "Eukaryotic large subunit ribosomal RNA", at positions 38 to 667 of the family's 3401-position model. Lineage: Eukaryota; Fungi; Ascomycota; Eurotiomycetes; Chaetothyriales; Herpotrichiellaceae. The record is from RNAcentral.
GCAUAUCAAUAAGCGGAGGAAAAGAAACCAACAGGGAUUGCCUCAGUAACGGCGAGUGAAGCGGCAACAGCUCAAAUUUGAAAUCUGGCCUCCCGGGGUCCGAGUUGUAAUUUGUAGAGGAUGUUUUGGGUACCGCCCCGGUUUAAAUUUCUUGGAACAGAAUGUCAGAGAGGGUGAGAAUCCCGUCUUGGACCGGUGGUAGGGCCUGUGUAAAACUCCUUCGACGAGUCGAGUUGUUUGGGAAUGCAGCUCAAAAUGGGUGGUAAAUUUCAUCUAAAGCUAAAUAUUGGCCAGAGACCGAUAGCGCACAAGUAGAGUGAUCGAAAGAUGAAAAGAACUUUGAAAAGAGAGUUAAACAGUAUGUGAAAUUGUUGAAAGGGAAGCGCUUGCAACCAGACUUGAGCGCGACGGUUCCCCUAGCCUUUUGGCUAGGUUACUCCGUCGUGUCCAGGCCAACAUCGGUUCUGAGGGUCGGUCAAAGGCUCUGGGAAUGUAUCUACCCACGGGUAGACUUAUAGACCAGGGUGUCAUGCGACCUCUCGGGACCGAGGAACGCGCUUCGGCUCGGAUGUUGGCGUAAUGGUUGUCAGCGACCCGUCUUGAAACACGGACC